This 70-nucleotide transfer RNA is filed under the name Ictidomys tridecemlineatus (thirteen-lined ground squirrel). RNAcentral describes it as "Spermophilus tridecemlineatus (thirteen-lined ground squirrel) tRNA". It matches the Rfam family "tRNA". From Rfam's summary of the family: Transfer RNA (tRNA) molecules are approximately 80 nucleotides in length. Their secondary structure includes four short double-helical elements and three loops (D, anti-codon, and T loops). Further hydrogen bonds mediate the characteristic L-shaped molecular structure. tRNAs have two regions of fundamental functional importance: the anti-codon, which is responsible for specific mRNA codon recognition, and the 3' end, to which the tRNAs corresponding amino acid is attached (by aminoacyl-tRNA synthetases). tRNAs cope with the degeneracy of the genetic code in two manners: having more than one tRNA (with a specific anti-codon) for a particular amino acid; and 'wobble' base-pairing, i.e. permitting non-standard base-pairing at the 3rd anti-codon position. The record is from Rfam by way of RNAcentral. Lineage: Eukaryota; Metazoa; Chordata; Mammalia; Rodentia; Sciuridae.
UGGAAUAUAGCUCAGUGGUAAAGUGCUUGCCUCACACGCAUAAAGCCCUGGGUUUAAUUCCCAGUUCCAA